Molecule: ribosomal RNA, 490 nt
Filed under: uncultured bacterium
Lineage: Bacteria
Description: partial 16S ribosomal RNA
Rfam family: Bacterial small subunit ribosomal RNA
Source: RNAcentral
AUUGAACGCUGGCGGCAGGCCUAACACAUGCAAGUCGAACGGUAACAGGAAGAAGCUUGCUUCUUUGCUGACGAGUGGCGGACGGGUGAGUAAUGUCUGGGAAACUGCCUGAUGGAGGGGGAUAACUACUGGAAACGGUAGCUAAUACCGCAUAACGUCGCAAGACCAAAGAGGGGGACCUUCGGGCCUCUUGCCAUCGGAUGUGCCCAGAUGGGAUUAGCUAGUAGGUGGGGUAACGGCUCACCUAGGCGACGAUCCCUAGCUGGUCUGAGAGGAUGACCAGCCACACUGGAACUGAGACACGGUCCAGACUCCUACGGGAGGCAGCAGUGGGGAAUAUUGCACAAUGGGCGCAAGCCUGAUGCAGCCAGGCCGCGUGUAUGAAGAAGGCCUUCGGGUUGUAAAGUACUUUCAGCGGGGAGGAAGGGAGUAAAGUUAAUACCUUUGCUCAUUGACGUUACCCGCAGAAGAAGCACCGGCUAACUCCGUG